RNAcentral lists this unclassified non-coding RNA (269 nucleotides) under rhizosphere metagenome. RNAcentral describes it as "partial ribosomal RNA internal transcribed spacer region". The record is from RNAcentral.
GUAGGUGAACCUGCGGAAGGAUCAUUACCUUUCAGUACAGAAGCGUUGUGUUGGUUGAGUUGUGCCGGUUGAGUCUCGCUCACAAGUGGGGUUCCUGGUAGCAACUCCCUUCAUAAUUCUUCCUGUCUAUCAUCCUUGUCUUUUGUGUACUAUUGUUUCCUCGGCGGGCUUGCCCGCCGGCUGGACAACCUUAUAACCUAUUUAAUUUUCAAUCAGCGUCUGAAAUACUAUAAUAAUUACAACUUUCAACAACGGAUCUCUUGGUUCUG